This 1953-nucleotide long non-coding RNA is filed under the name Homo sapiens (human). Its description in RNAcentral is "HSALNT0012792". Lineage: Eukaryota; Metazoa; Chordata; Mammalia; Primates; Hominidae. The record is from RNAcentral.
ACUGGGAUACUCACUGCUGGAGCGGCUGCUCACCUACAACUCCCUGUACAAGAAGGGCCCUGAUGGCUAUGACCCCCAGUUCAUAACCAAGCUGCUCCGCAACUACAGGUCUCAUCCCACCAUCCUGGACAUUCCUAACCAGCUCUAUUAUGAAGGGGAGCUGCAGGCCUGUGCUGAUGUCGUGGAUCGAGAACGCUUCUGCCGCUGGGCGGGCCUACCUCGACAGAGGCUGCCACAGUGACUUCCUACCUGAAGCUGCUCCUGGCCCCCUCCUCCAAGAAGGGCAAAGCUCGCCUGAGCCCUCGAAGUGUGGGCGUCAUCUCCCCGUACCGGAAACAGGUGGAGAAAAUCCGUUACUGCAUCACCAAACUUGACAGGGAGCUUCGAGGACUGGAUGACAUCAAGGACUUGAAGGUGACAUGCUGUUCCACAGUCACUCCCUGCCUUCCGUGUGCCCCCACUUGCCCACUUCCAGAGACUUCCUCAAGCUUCCACUCCAGCCCACGUCCCCGUCCCACCCCUGCUGCCUUGAAUAGAGCUCGAGCUCUCCCUGAGCCUCUCACUCCUGGAGAUUCCAACUUAAGGGUCUGGGAUGGGAUCAGGAAGCCUGCAUGUUUAACAAACACCUCCUGUCAUUCUUAGACUGAGGCAGGUUUGAGGCCUCUGCCCUAAGGAUAAAGUCCAAAUUCCGUGGCCUGUCAUGUGAUGCUGCCACCCCCACCCCCAGUAGCCUCUCUCUUAAGGUUCUGGUCUCAACACUGGCUGCAGAUAACAAUCACCUGGAGAGCUUUUAAUACCCCGCCCCCAUGCCAGGGCCCCACCCACCAGCUCAUACAGCUAUCGGGGCAGAGCCAGGGCACUGGUAGUUUUUACAGCUUCUCAGGUGAUUCUAAUAUGCAGCCAGGGUUGAAAACACUGCUCUAAGACUUACAGGCCUCUCUCUUGGAAAUUCUGAUCGGGGGUCCGGGUUAGGGCCCAGGGUUGUAUAUUCUUAACAGAUACUUAGUGAUUGUUUUCAGGAAAGUUUGAAAGUCACUGCUCUGAGUUCCCGUGUUCUUUGCAAUGCUGUUUUCUUUCCUUAGAACACUUUGCAGGCCCCAGCCCUCAGCAGGAUUCAACCUUCAUGUUUCAGCUUCCACAGCCUACCUCCCAUCCCCUUUCCCUGGGCCGUGUCGCAGCACUGGUUCACUCACUGAUCUACAAUUGCCCAGUGACCUCUCUGUACCCUCCUUGGAAGGCAAGCUCCCUGGGGUAGGGCACCCCUUUGACACCCCUGGCUGGUCUCAGGCCCUGCCUCUUUCCCCACUAGGUGGGUUCAGUAGAAGAAUUCCAAGGCCAAGAACGAAGCGUCAUCCUCAUCUCCACCGUGCGAAGCAGCCAGAGCUUUGUGCAGCUGGAUCUGGACUUUAAUCUGGGUUUCCUUAAGAACCCCAAGAGGUUCAAUGUAGCUGUGACCCGGGCCAAGGCCCUGCUCAUCAUCGUGGGGAACCCCCUUCUCCUGGGCCAUGACCCUGACUGGAAAGUAUUCCUGGAGUUCUGUAAAGAAAACGGAGGGUAUACCGGGUGUCCCUUCCCUGCCAAACUGGACCUGCAACAGGGACAGAAUUUACUGCAAGGUCUGAGCAAGCUCAGCCCCUCUACCUCAGGGCCCCACAGCCAUGACUACCUCCCCCAGGAGCGGGAGGGUGAAGGGGGCCUGUCUCUGCAAGUGGAGCCAGAGUGGAGGAAUGAGCUCUGAAGACACAGCACCCAGCCUUCUCGCACCAGCCAAGCCUUAACUGCCUGCCUGACCCUGAACCAGAACCCAGCUGAACUGCCCCUCCAAGGGACAGGAAGGCUGGGGGAGGGAGUUUACAACCCAAGCCAUUCCACCCCCUCCCCUGCUGGGGAGAAUGACACAUCAAGCUGCUAACAAUUGGGGGAAGGGGAAGGAAGAAAACUCUGAAAACAAAA